RNAcentral lists this ribosomal RNA (253 nucleotides) under uncultured bacterium. RNAcentral describes it as "partial 16S ribosomal RNA". It matches the Rfam family "Bacterial small subunit ribosomal RNA", at positions 524 to 776 of the family's 1533-position model. The record is from RNAcentral.
UACGAAGGGGGCUAGCGUUGCUCGGAAUCACUGGGCGUAAAGGGUGCGUAGGCGGCUUUGUAAGUCAGUGGUGAAAUAUGGCAGCUUAACUGUCAAGGUGCCAUUGAUACUGCAGAGCUUGAGUACAGAUGAGGUAGGCGGAAUUGACGGUGUAGCGGUGAAAUGCUUAGAUAUCGUCAAGAACACCUAUAGCGAAGGCAGCUUACUAAGCUGUAACUGACGCUGAGGCACGAAAGUGUGGGGAUCAAACAGG